GACGAACGCUGGCGGCGUGCUUAACACAUGCAAGUCGAACGGAAAGGCCCUGCUUUUGUGGGGUGCUCGAGUGGCGAACGGGUGAGUAACACGUGAGUAACCUGCCCUUGACUUUGGGAUAACUUCAGGAAACUGGGGCUAAUACCGGAUAGGAGCUCCUGCUGCAUGGUGGGGGUUGGAAAGUUUCGGCGGUUGGGGAUGGACUCGCGGCUUAUCAGCUUGUUGGUGGGGUAGUGGCUUACCAAGGCUUUGACGGGUAGCCGGCCUGAGAGGGUGACCGGCCACAUUGGGACUGAGAUACGGCCCAGACUCCUACGGGAGGCAGCAGUGGGGAAUAUUGCACAAUGGGCGGAAGCCUGAUGCAGCAACGCCGCGUGCGGGAUGACGGCCUUCGGGUCGUAAACCGCGUUCGCCUGUGACGAAGCGUGAGUGACGGUAAUGGGUAAAGAAGCACCGGCUAACUACGUG
RNAcentral lists this ribosomal RNA (468 nucleotides) under uncultured bacterium. Its description in RNAcentral is "partial 16S ribosomal RNA". It matches the Rfam family "Bacterial small subunit ribosomal RNA", at positions 28 to 507 of the family's 1533-position model. The record is from RNAcentral.